RNAcentral lists this unclassified non-coding RNA (171 nucleotides) under uncultured Ochroconis. RNAcentral's name for it is "sequence contains ITS2". The record is from RNAcentral. Lineage: Eukaryota; Fungi; Ascomycota.
CACACUCCAAGCGAAGCUUGAUGUUGGGCGAUGCGGACCCCUCUCGGGGAUCGCACGUCUGGAACGCGUAGGCGCCCAGCGGCGGACCACGAGCGUAGCAAGACAUUUUUCGUCAAUUCGUUCCGUGAAGUCCGACGGAGGGCGGCCUCAUACCAUUUCUGUCUCAGAAGU